Long non-coding RNA from Megalobrama amblycephala (Wuchang bream), 744 nucleotides. RefSeq lists it as uncharacterized. Lineage: Eukaryota; Metazoa; Chordata; Actinopteri; Cypriniformes; Xenocyprididae. The record is from RefSeq and is a predicted model, not a curated record. The transcript is spliced from 3 exons.
GGAAGUGUUUUGGGUGAAUGAGGGUUAAGUUCAGCCUGUAGAACUCAGAAGUUUUCAGCACCCUCUUCUCAAACUCUUCAAGCUCAAUGGGGCUCUCCAAGAGCUGCCACUCCUCCUCAUCAGGAUAGUGAGAGUUAAUGAAGUUCUCAGGGUCCGUCAGGAAAUAAAACUCCUCAUAUCUGAAAUUGUAUUUCUGUUUUAGACAUGCAGCAUGUGAUUGUCAUGAUCACAGCAUGCAGUAAUGUGUAUAUAACUGUACAUCUGAAAUUAAUAUAUAAUAUGUAAAAAUCCUGUCUCACCUCUUUAUGAAUGCUCUGUUGUCCAGGUCCACUCUUCCAGCGCCCCAGCAGGCAUCCAGCAAGUACCAGUAUCCAUCCAGAAACACUGCAUUCCACAUGUGGCUGGAUUUAGUGUUCUGAUGUACUGUACAGUUCCCACAAGUUCAUACAGUUGUCAAUCAGAAUAACCACAGACGCUGGAGUAACCAGAGCACACACCUCGUCCGGUCAAAAUGACCAGCUCAGGUGAGCAAACCUUCUCAGUGAGGCCCAGAUAUCCUUCCACAUCAUACUCUACAGGUAACAGACAAAACAGUAUCUCCUAACAAUAACUUAGUGUUAUCGAAUCAGACAGUUUUCCAUGAACUUUUCAAGUUCUGCCACUUAAACAUUCAGAAUUAUUUUUUUUCAUACAUCAGCUAAUGGUACACACUACAAAAUGCUGGGUUAAAAACAACCCAAGUUG